CUGAUGCAGCAACGCCGCGUGAGUGAUGAAGGCCUUCGGGUUGUAAAGCCCUUUCGGCCGGGACGAUAGUGCCGGUACCCACAGACGAAGCGCCGGCUAAAUUCGUGCCAGCAGCCCCGGUAAUACCUCGGGGGCUAGCGUUGCUCGGAAUUAUUGGGCGUAAAGGGUGCGCAGAAUGUUUGCGCAGUCGGGGCGGAAAUCCCGGUGCUCAACUCCGGAGCUGCCUUCGAAACUUCCUCGCUAGAGUGCCGCAAAAGAGUGUGGAACUGCAGGUGUAGAGGUGAAAUGCGUAGUUCUUGUGUAGAGAUCAAUUGCGGAAAUCUCGUCACUAACACGUGUCUGAAGCUGACUUCUGAAGCCGUGGCUGACAAUUAGAUUAGAUACCCUGGUAGUCCACCCCGUAAACCAUCGCUGUUAGCCGUCGCUAUAAUUGGU
Molecule: ribosomal RNA, 435 nt
Filed under: uncultured Rhodoplanes sp.
Lineage: Bacteria; Pseudomonadati; Pseudomonadota; Alphaproteobacteria; Hyphomicrobiales; Nitrobacteraceae
Description: bacterial SSU rRNA
Rfam family: Bacterial small subunit ribosomal RNA
Source: RNAcentral